RNAcentral lists this ribosomal RNA (404 nucleotides) under uncultured bacterium. RNAcentral describes it as "bacterial SSU rRNA". It matches the Rfam family "Bacterial small subunit ribosomal RNA", at positions 355 to 776 of the family's 1533-position model. The record is from RNAcentral.
UGGGGAAUAUUGGACAAUGGGCGCAAGCCUGAUCCAGCAAUGCCGCGUGUGUGAAGAAGGUUUUCGGAUUGUAAAGCACUUUCGGCGGGGACGAUGAUGACGGUACCCGCAGAAGAAGCCCCGGCUAACUUCGUGCCAGCAGCCGCGGUAAUACGAAGGGGGCUAGCGUUGCUCGGAAUGACUGGGCGUAAAGGGCGCGUAGGCGGAUGUGUCAGUCAGACGUGAAAUUCCUGGGCUCAACCUGGGGACUGCGUUUGAGACGGCAUAUCUUGAGUGAGGAAGAGGGUUGUGGAAUUCCCAGUGUAGAGGUGAAAUUCGUAGAUAUUGGGAAGAACACCGGUGGCGAAGGCGGCAACCUGGUCCUUGACUGACGCUGAGGCGCGAAAGCGUGGGGAGCAAACAGG